RNAcentral lists this transfer RNA (67 nucleotides) under Lithodes nintokuae. RNAcentral's name for it is "tRNA-His". It matches the Rfam family "tRNA". From Rfam's summary of the family: Transfer RNA (tRNA) molecules are approximately 80 nucleotides in length. Their secondary structure includes four short double-helical elements and three loops (D, anti-codon, and T loops). Lineage: Eukaryota; Metazoa; Arthropoda; Malacostraca; Decapoda; Lithodidae. The record is from RNAcentral.
AUUUAAAUAGUUUAAUAAAAAACAUUGGUUUGUGGUACCAAAAAUAUAAUUAUAUUUAUUUUAAAUC